CCCUAUGGGGUGCAGCAGGGUGUGACCGUUUUGGUGAGCACGCCAUACAUGGACGAAGCCGAAAGGUGCCAGGAAGUCAGCUUCCUUUCUCAGGGGCGGAUUCUUGCGACAGGUUCGCCGCUUGAACUGACUAAGCAGCUUCCCUUUGAGAUUUUGGAAGUUAAAGCCAGCCCGCGGGCUAAAAUGCGAACGAUCGUUGAUGAAACCCAGGGCGUGCUGGACUGGCGCCCGGUUGGAGACACGCUGCGGGUGAACGUUCCGAAUAACGGCGCAUCCGAGCGCAUCCUGAAAAACAUGAAGCGAAACAUGGAUCAGGAAAAAAUGACGGUCUCUGUUUUGAGGCACGGCCGCCAGAGUAUGGAAGAUGUUUUUGUGCACCUGAUGAACACACAGGGGAGC
This 399-nucleotide ribosomal RNA is filed under the name uncultured prokaryote. Its description in RNAcentral is "partial 16S ribosomal RNA". The record is from RNAcentral.